This 253-nucleotide ribosomal RNA is filed under the name uncultured bacterium. RNAcentral's name for it is "partial 16S ribosomal RNA". It matches the Rfam family "Bacterial small subunit ribosomal RNA", at positions 524 to 776 of the family's 1533-position model. The record is from RNAcentral.
UACGGGGGGAGCAAGCGUUGUUCGGAUUUACUGGGCGUAAAGGGCGCGUAGGCGGCGUGACAAGUCACUUGUGAAAUCUCCGGGCUUAACUCGGAGCGGUCAAGUGAUACUGUCGUGCUAGAGUGCGGAAGGGGCUACUGGAAUUCUCGGUGUAGCGGUGAAAUGCGCAGAUAUCGGGAGGAACACCGGUGGCGAAGGCGGUGCUCUGGGCCAGUACUGACGCUGAGGAGCGAAAGCGUGGGUAGCAAACAGG